ACAGGUGAUAAACAGGUGGUAAACAGGUGAUAAACAGGUGAUAAACAGAUGAUAAACAGGUGAUAAACAGGUGGUAAACAGGUGAUAAACAGGUGAUAAACAGGUGAUAAACAGGUGGUAAACAGGUGGUAAACAGGUGAUAAACAGAUGAUAAACAGGUGGUAAACAGAUGAUAAACAGGUGAUAAACAGGUGAUAAACAGGUGAUAAACAGGUGAUAAACAGAUGAUAAACAGGUGAUAAACAGAUGAUAAACAGGUGAUAAACAGGUGAUAAACAGAUGAUAAACAGGUGAUAAACAGGUGGUAAACAGGUGAUAAACAGGUGAUAAACAGGUGGUAAACAGAUGAUAAACAGGUGAUAAACAGGUGGUAAACAGGUGAUAAACAGGUGAUAAACAGGUGGUAAACAGGUGAUAAACAGGUGCUCCUGCUCCUGGCGACUGAACUUAACAAGCACUAGCCUUGUUAGCUUCAUCGCUAGCCUUUGUGUUGGCCGCGGUAAAACUUUUGGUUAGAAGUGUUUUUGUGGAGCU
This is a long non-coding RNA of Dicentrarchus labrax (European seabass), 534 nucleotides long. RefSeq lists it as uncharacterized. The transcript is spliced from 6 exons. The record is from RefSeq and is a predicted model, not a curated record. NCBI's taxonomy places the organism in Eukaryota, Metazoa, Chordata, Actinopteri, Moronidae.